AAAUUGAAUUGGACAGGGUCCAUGGGUGAUAAAAAAUGUCCAUGACCUAGGUUGGUAACCUGCAUUGCAGUCGGUGUGCCUACCUGUGAUCAAAAGUGCUUCAGCUUAUGUCAUAAUUUAUGGCAGUGGCGCAUAGAAUGACUGAAUGAGAAAUGAAAUUCUACUAAGCCCUG
Molecule: small nuclear RNA, 173 nt
Filed under: Olea europaea subsp. europaea
Lineage: Eukaryota; Viridiplantae; Streptophyta; Magnoliopsida; Lamiales; Oleaceae
Rfam family: U1 spliceosomal RNA
About the family: U1 is a small nuclear RNA (snRNA) component of the spliceosome (involved in pre-mRNA splicing). Its 5' end forms complementary base pairs with the 5' splice junction, thus defining the 5' donor site of an intron. There are significant differences in sequence and secondary structure between metazoan and yeast U1 snRNAs, the latter being much longer (568 nucleotides as compared to 164 nucleotides in human).
Source: RNAcentral